This 623-nucleotide long non-coding RNA is filed under the name Olea europaea (common olive). RNAcentral's name for it is "long non-coding RNA (OEUR_LNC010877)". Lineage: Eukaryota; Viridiplantae; Streptophyta; Magnoliopsida; Lamiales; Oleaceae. The record is from RNAcentral.
UUUUUUUUUUUUUUUUUGGGAAACUAGUUGAACUGUAAUCCAUUACAUUUAUACCAAGAAAUCUUGGGAAAAUGUGGAAUCUUGCAAAGACCUAUUAUGGUUUCUUGAGUUACAGUGGGAUUUCUUGAUUUUUCUUGCAAGUUUGCGUAUGGUGAUGAUAGAAGGGCUUCUAGGUAAGUUUAUUUUGGUUUGAAAGUACAAUUUGAGAGGUGAAUUUCCAUUUUUUAUUCUGCAUGUAUGUGUAUGUACUUUCUUGGUUGUGAAGAUGGUGGCUGCUGUUUCUGAAAACCCCCAAAAUCAUAGCUUGAAGAAGACCUCCAUUAUUGUCUUCCAAAAAAGAUGAUUGUAAUGGGGUUUUAAACAAUCCCAGGAGGCCCAAAUCUAGAAUUGUUUCUUCGAGAUACAUGUCCCCUUCAAGUUCUACAUACACUUAGUAUUCCUCUUCAGUUUCCUCAUCUUCAUCUUUUUCUAGAACGUAUCCCUCUCCUACGGUUUCAAGAAACUUGACCCCGGCAUGAAAGAUUUUGGAUUUUUUAUUUGAGUAGUGUGAGGAAGGGUAUUCCAGAGAAGAAGAAGACAGCGGUGGCGCUCCAUUGAGAGGAAAGGGUUCCCGACUACGACGG